Molecule: ribosomal RNA, 461 nt
Filed under: uncultured bacterium
Lineage: Bacteria
Description: bacterial SSU rRNA
Rfam family: Bacterial small subunit ribosomal RNA
Source: RNAcentral
CGGCAUGCCUAACACAUGCAAGUCGAACGGAGUAAUGACUCGGUUAUACUAGUGGCGAACGGGUGAGUAACACGUGAAUAAUCUGCCCUGUACGAUGGGAUAACAGCUGGAAACGGCUGCUAAUACCGUAUAUGACCACGCCGAGGCAUCUCGGAGGGGUGAAAGCGCUUAAGCGGUACAGGAUGAGUUCGCGUCCAAUUAGCUAGUUGGUGAGGUAAGGCCCACCAAGGCGACGAUUGGUAGCCGACCUGAGAGGGUGAUCGGCCACACUGGAACUGAGACACGGUCCAGACUCCUACGGGAGGCAGCAGUGGGGAAUAUUGGGCAAUGGAGGAAACUUCCUUACCCAGCAAUGCCGCGUGAGUGAUGAAGGUCUUCGGAUUGUAAAGCUCUUUGAUUGGGGACGAAUAAAUGACGGUACCCAAGGAACAAGCCCCGGCUAACUAUGUGCCAGCCGCCGC